UAGCAUAAUAAUUAGUUUUUUAAUUAAGAACUGGAAUGAAAGGUCCUACGAGAAAAAAACUGUCUCAAUUUAAUUUUAUUAGAAUUUUAUUUUUAAGUAAAAAAGCUUAAAUAAAUUUAAAAGACGAGAAGACCCUAUAGAGUUUUAUAUUUAAUAUUUAUAGUGAAAUUAAAGUAUUGUUUAAUUAGUAUAAAUAAAAUAAAUAUUUGAUUGGGGUGAUUAAAAAAUUAAUAUAACUUUUUUUUGUUUAAAUCAUUGAUUUAUGAAUAAUUGAGCCAUUUAUAUAUGAUUAAAAGAUUAAAUUACCUUAGGGAUAACAGCGUAAUUUUUUUUGAGAGUU
This 340-nucleotide ribosomal RNA is filed under the name Epirinus comosus. RNAcentral's name for it is "partial 16S ribosomal RNA". The record is from RNAcentral. Lineage: Eukaryota; Metazoa; Arthropoda; Insecta; Coleoptera; Scarabaeidae.